This 64-nucleotide transfer RNA is filed under the name Kiwa tyleri. Its description in RNAcentral is "tRNA-Arg". The record is from RNAcentral. Lineage: Eukaryota; Metazoa; Arthropoda; Malacostraca; Decapoda; Kiwaidae.
AAUUAAAAAGUGAAAUUUUACAUUUAGUUUCGACCUAAACUUUGGCUUAUUUAGCCUUUAAUUU